RNAcentral lists this ribosomal RNA (253 nucleotides) under uncultured bacterium. RNAcentral's name for it is "partial 16S ribosomal RNA". It matches the Rfam family "Bacterial small subunit ribosomal RNA", at positions 524 to 776 of the family's 1533-position model. The record is from RNAcentral.
GACGAACCGUGCGACCGUUAUUCGGAAUCACUGGGCGUAAAGGGUGCGUAGGCGGCGCGGUAAGUCGGGUGUGAAAUCUUGGAGCUUAACUCCGAAACUGCAUUCGAUACUGCCGUGCUUGAGGACUGGAGAGGAGACUGGAAUUUACGGUGUAGCGGUGAAAUGCGUAGAUAUCGUAAGGAAGACCAGUGGCGAAGGCGGGUCUCUGGACAGUUCCUGACGCUGAAGCACGAAGGCCAGGGGAGCAAACGGG